CAGUGCCAUUCAUCUCCAGCGCCAGGACGCUUCAUAAAUAUUAGUGGAGCCUCCCCACCGUGAGCAGGAGGGAGUGGUGGCUGUGUGGGCAGCAGCGCCCAUGGGACACAGCUGGGGGGGCGCACAGCAGGGCGCAGCUCGUCCCCCUCUGCAACCACAGUGACCCAGGGGUGUGGGUUAGGGUUAUGGUUGUGGUUAUGGUUAAGGUUAUGGUUAAGGUUAUGGUUAUGGUUAAGGUUAAGGUUAUGCUUAAGGUUAUGGUUAAGGUUAGGGUUAUGGUUAGGAUUAGGGUUAUAGUUAUGGUUAUGGUUAAGGUUAAGGUUGUGGUUAUGUUUAAGGUUAGGGUUAGGGUUAUGGUUAUGAUUGGGUUUAUAGUUAUGGUUAGGUUUAAGGUUAAGGUUAGGGUUAAGGUAAGGGUUAGGUUUAGGGUCAGGUGGCCAUUGCCACACACUGCCAGAAAUGGCACCGACCUCUUCUAGGAGAGCACACGGCAGCUUUGGCUCUUUGUGAUGGAAAUGCGGCCCCGCGGGAGCAAAAGGCUGAAGUGCUCCCGGUGCUGCUCCAACCUCUGCCGGGGAUUCAGAGCACCUCAUUGACAAUGAUAUUUUUUAUUCUGAAAUGGAAGAAAGCAGCCGCUAUCUGUACAAACAAAAUUAGGCCAAAGGAGGAAAGUAAUUUUGUAAAAGAAAUAGGGAGAUGCAGGGAGAGAUGGAUGGGAGACAGAUGAAUAAACACAAUCUACAUAGGAACUGAUAAAAAUUCAAUUUCUGCUCACACACGUCCCGCUCGCAUUCGCUCCCUUCCUUUCCUCUUCUCCGCACGCUCCGGCGCUGCCUGCAGCCCUGCAGCCUCCAUCUGUGCUGUGGGAGGCACAGAACCCGCUCUGCCUUCAGCACUCUGCAGCGUUCCCCUCCAGCGCGGUGCUCUCAGCCCUGCGGCUUCAGCCCCGAUGUCUUCCCCUUGUGAGGAGUGGGGGGGAAAGGGUGAAAGCGCGCCCUGCGCCCAUGGCACCCCGGGGGGAUCUAUGGGUUCGGCUCACCCCGAUCCUGGAUGUCCCCACAAACCCCGGCCCGUGGGAGUGCUGGGCUCCCCCUUUGCUUUUUGGGCACGCUGAGCUCCGGUGGCUCUGAGUCAUUAAAGAAAAGAACACCUCCAAAAUUCCCCCACAUUUCCCGUGGGGAAACCGAAACACGCUGCCCUGUGCUGACAUCCCAUCUGGGAGCAUCCGUGUGGCACAGUACCUGAGGAUGGGCAGCGUGGAGGGAGAGAAGGUAAACAGGCACCUGAGGGCAGAUGGGCUGGGAAUCGAUGGGAGAGGCUUCGGAGCUGCAUUCUGGGAGGCUUCCAGCAGCAGUGCAGUGUUGGAGUGCAUCGGGGGCCAACCCUGCAGCGUUCAUUGGGGUGAGGCUGUAUGGGUGCCAUGGGG
RNAcentral lists this long non-coding RNA (1426 nucleotides) under Gallus gallus (chicken). Its description in RNAcentral is "lncRNA (ENSGALG00010017846.1)". Lineage: Eukaryota; Metazoa; Chordata; Aves; Galliformes; Phasianidae. The record is from RNAcentral.